ACUGGGCACGGUGGUGUAUGCCUGUAAUCCCAGCAAUUGGGGAGGCUGAGGCAGGAGGAUCAAGAGUUCAAAGCCAGCCUCAGCCACUUAGCAAGGCCCUAAGCAACGCAGAGAGACCCUGUCUCUC
Molecule: small RNA, 127 nt
Filed under: Marmota monax (woodchuck)
Lineage: Eukaryota; Metazoa; Chordata; Mammalia; Rodentia; Sciuridae
Source: RNAcentral